AACAUGUAGAGGUUUUGACACACAGAGAACAGGUCUUGGGUUCUUCCGGGUUGGAAGAGACGGCAGACACAAAGAUCUCGGUAUCGUUAAUGGGCUUUUUCUUAGAAAAAUCUUGUCAGAUCCAUCGAUUGUGGGUGCUAUAGCAGAUUGCUUAACGGUGCAAAUCAUGAUGCAGAAAACAAAGAUUUUUCCAAGUUAAAAAUCCAAAAAGUUCUAAAGGGUAUGUCACAAAAUCAAACAAAACAAUCUGAAAACAAUCAACCCGUGAAGAUGUAGAUCAAAAAGGAAGAGAAUCUCACAAGAAAUAAAUAAAAAGCAAGUCUUUUUACGACUCUUUCUCUAUGUCAA
Molecule: unclassified non-coding RNA, 348 nt
Filed under: Hevea brasiliensis (rubber tree)
Lineage: Eukaryota; Viridiplantae; Streptophyta; Magnoliopsida; Malpighiales; Euphorbiaceae
Source: RNAcentral